RNAcentral lists this long non-coding RNA (568 nucleotides) under Salmo salar (Atlantic salmon). RNAcentral describes it as "lncRNA (ENSSSAG00000119337.1)". The record is from RNAcentral. Lineage: Eukaryota; Metazoa; Chordata; Actinopteri; Salmoniformes; Salmonidae.
CUAGCACCUCACCAGGCUCUGAAAAAGACUUCAUUGAUGACGUGUUCCAUCUAUUCCAGGGGACAGCAGAGGAACUUCAUCGAUUCCACUCCUUCAUCAAUACAAGCAGUAAACAUCUGAAAUUCACCCUCACCUUUCAUGUGCAUGAAACAAGUUAUCUGGACAUUUUGAUUAAGAGGGAGAAGGGUGGAUUAAGCACAGACCUAUACAGGAAGCCGACGGACAGGAAUUCCCUGUUACGCGGAGACAACUUCCACCCUACACCCCUAAUAAAACAAUUGGAACCAGAUCAUGACUACAGCUCAGUUACUAAGUCUUUAACCACACUGUGUUGUUACACUGUCAGCAGAUGGACUAGAUGCCUCUUAGGCCGCCCAUUGUGACUCCAUCAAGAAUUCAGCAGAACAAGUUUGUAUGAAGUUGUCCACAUGGCUGGGAGAACCUAUUCAAGUAAGUAAAUAGAUUUUGAAAAUGUAAAAAAACAACGAUGUAUUAUUAGCUAACUAGCUGCAGUGCAGGCUAACUCAAAUGAGCUGCUAAAUGAGCUAGCUAUCUAGCCAACUACACA